ACGGGGCUUAUGUUCCAAUGA
This 21-nucleotide small nuclear RNA is filed under the name Arabidopsis thaliana (thale cress). Its description in RNAcentral is "snRNA_07429". Lineage: Eukaryota; Viridiplantae; Streptophyta; Magnoliopsida; Brassicales; Brassicaceae. The record is from RNAcentral.